This 1156-nucleotide long non-coding RNA is filed under the name Triticum aestivum (bread wheat). RNAcentral describes it as "long non-coding RNA (TAES_LNC006865)". The stretch from base 194 to 289 matches the Rfam family "Small nucleolar RNA Z159/U59". The record is from RNAcentral. Lineage: Eukaryota; Viridiplantae; Streptophyta; Magnoliopsida; Poales; Poaceae.
CUCGUUUUUGCUAUUUGCUUGAGAUGUUUCUGACUCUGUUUCGGCCUCCCGAUGACUGGACAAAUUUUAAGUUUCAGCCUUGUCUGAAAAAUACCAAUCUGUUGAUACAUCUAUGCAAAUGUUUCUGAGGGACUAUUUCUUUUUGAGAUACUUUCUUUUGUUUUAUCUUGUAUGCUAGAUCUAAUGCUUAAAGCUGUCCGAUGAUGAUGAAACUAAACACUUUCGUUCUUCUGAUGCGCUAUCUCAUGGCGCGGUGCGGAAGCAAUUUGGAGACCUGAACUGAGGAAAAGCUUGGUCGUGUCCAAUUUUUUGUGUAUUUCAAUUUUUUGCUUGCAUUUUGCGAUUGAGAUAUUGUUUUGUGUUUGUUGCUUCACAACUGGAAGGAUGGCCUGUUGAUAUCAGUUUGGUCAUCCCGUAGAAGGAAGCAUAGACGGACGGAAACACCGGCCAGCAUAUUUUUGUUUCUUGAGAUUCGUAUGUCUCCAUCGUCUGUUUUCCCUUCCAUUCCCGACUUCUUUGUCGCCCGUGCAACCUGUCUUCUCUGCAUCCAUCCCCUGCAUACGGCUCGGAGGUGGGAGGUUGUUGGCUGGUGGCUGAAAUGAAAAUAGAGGAGGGAGGGGCGGUGGAGCUGGUUGAUGGACAUGCGGCGGUGGCGGCAAAGGGGACCAAAGUCUUUAUAUUUUAGGACUUUUGUCCCUUCGCCGCCGCCGCCACCUCCCAUCCAUCCCUCAACUCCGCCGCCUCUCUCUCUUCAAUUUCAGCCCCCAGCCAACAACCUCCUAGUUCCCAACCGUGUGAUCUGGAUAACGCAUUGCAUUUAUUUCGGCGAAAUAAAGCCAGCAAUUUGGUGUGGUGCGGAAGCAAUUUGGAGACCUGAAUUGAGGAAAUGCUUGAUUAUAUCGUUUGUCCAGUUUUGCGAUUGAAAAACUAUUUUAUGUAACUGGAAGGAUGGCCUAUUGAUAACAGUUUGGUCAUCCCGUAGAGGGAAGCAUAGACGGACGGAAACACCGGCCAGCAUUAAACAGCACGACGCUCAAUCAAACUGCGUCGUGUGACCUGUCUUCUGGCACAUCUCAACACAAAUGUGCAUGUUUUUAUUUCUUGAGAUUCAUGCGCCUCCUUCUCCUGUUUUCCCUUCCUUCCCUGACCUUGUCGC